UUUUCUUAAGUUUAUCAUAGCUUUCAGUGAGAAGUUGGUUUUUCUGAUUUAGUUCUUUAUUUUUCUCAAUUAAGAUUUUAGUUUCAUUAGUAUGUUUCUUAAUUAGUGUUUCAUAAUAAUUAGACAGUUUCAUUUUUUCAUUUACUAGGAUUUUCUUUUCAUUCUUCAGGUUCUUAUUUUUACAAAUGAGUUUCUUAUGUUCCUUUAUUAGAUCAAGAAAUGCAUCAUGUAACUCAUCAAGUGUAAAAUCAUUUUCAGUUUUAUCAUAUACUUCAUAUUCAGAAGAGGAGACACUUUGUGUUUCAACACAUACCUCGUUCUUGUGUGCCACAAGGC
RNAcentral lists this long non-coding RNA (336 nucleotides) under Phoenix dactylifera (date palm). RNAcentral describes it as "long non-coding RNA (PDAC_LNC011401)". Lineage: Eukaryota; Viridiplantae; Streptophyta; Magnoliopsida; Arecales; Arecaceae. The record is from RNAcentral.